Beta vulgaris subsp. vulgaris (sugar beet) is the source of this 5130-nucleotide RNA transcript. It is a transcript of the gene named ENHANCER OF AG-4 protein 2, with no coding region annotated. The transcript is spliced from 13 exons. Lineage: Eukaryota; Viridiplantae; Streptophyta; Magnoliopsida; Caryophyllales; Amaranthaceae. The record is from RefSeq and is a predicted model, not a curated record.
ACUUAUUAUCAAAACAAACAACAACAACAAAAACAACUGUGUCUCUUUCCUCUACUCUCUCUCUUUCUCUCGCUCUCUUCUUCCUUCUUCCGUCUCACCGCCUGAAUUCCUCUUCUAUUGCUCCCCAAAUCCAAAUGCAAUCAUCAACUUUCUCUCUCCUACGAUGCCCUAAUCUUCAUCUUUCGCGCUGAUUUUCCCCCCAAAUUUGGUUUAUUCAAUCUCUAAUCUUCCAGGUUUUAAUUUAGGGUUUUCUCAAAAUUCGGUGGCAUUCAUAAAUUAGGGUUUUGGUGAGGUUUUUUGGGUUAAUUUGAUGUUAUCUUCAUGGCUCCUGCGCGCAAAAAAGGAGCCAAUAAAGUGAAGUCUGCUAACGAAUUGUGUCUCGGCGAUCUCGUCCUUGCUAAGGUCAAGGGCUUUCCUGCUUGGCCAGCUAAGGUUAGCAGACCAGAAGACUGGGAGCGAGCUCCUGACUCAAAAAAGUAUUUCGUACAGUUCUUUGGAACUCAAGAAAUAGCUUUUGUUGCUCCGCCUGAUGUUCAAGCAUUUACCAGUGAGUCAAAGAAUAAAUUACUGGCUAGAUGCAAAGGGAAAACUGUCAAAUAUUUUGCUCAAGCUGUUAAGGAAAUAUGUGAAGCAUUUGAACAGCUGCGAAAAAGUGAUUUAAGUAGUCGUGCUGACAACGCAGCAGCUUGUGGACAUGAUGCUUAUAAUAUUGAAGCAGGGAAUGUCAAUGGUUCCCAUGCCGAGUUGCGCAAAAGACCUAAAUCUGAAGAAGUAUAUGCUAGUGAUUAUGUAUUAGAUCACGUCCCUGGGUUGGGGGGCUGUCCUAGUGUGAAAGAUUUGUUGAAACCUGCUGCUGCUGCCGAAGAAUCUAAGAAAUCUGGUGAUUAUAGUGAAAUGCUUCAGAAAGAUACAGAUACGGGUAGGGAUUUUCCAACUGUAGCAUCAGUUCGUAGUGCACUUGUUCCUUCCUCCGUUAAGGAAGAAAUAGCUUUAGGUGAGAACAAAGCAGAUACGGUUAUCCAUCUUGAACGAAUUGAGUCCUCAAAGGCCUCAAGUUCCAGUCCAUACAGCAGUCAUUCUGACAUUAAAUGGGUUAAUCAUCAUGGGGACGGUAAAAGAGAUACUCUAAUGUCAUUAGGACCUUCAGGUCAUAAGCUUUCUGCUGGUGGGAAUAAGAAGUCAGCAAAUGGACAUAAGUCACUGGAUAUGAUUGCUGGGGCCAAGAGGAAAAUCGAGGGUGUGAUCCGUCAAACUGACGAUGCCAAAUCCGGCGUGCUAGUUAAGGAUCGGAUACCUGGGAAACUCUCGGCUGGCAUACAUGCAAAACGAUUGUCUUCAGGUGUAAACAAGUCGGAGUCUAGUCCUCGUGGGAAGGUCUUGCAAAGCCUGCUCAAAGAGCAGAAGCUUGUCGAUGUUGGUAAAUACUCUCCACAGGAUGCGGUUGCUGCUUCGAAGGAAUGUGGAGAUGCGGAGUAUUCAAGACGAAAAGAUCGUCAAAUUAGCCAGGAACAGUCACCGUCAGUAAAGAAGGCUAAGCAUGUGCACAUAAUGUGUGACACUGCCAAAGGCUCAAUAAUCAAGAGUGAAAAAAGUGAUUUGGAACCUGAAAUCUCUAGUGAGGAAGCUGCUUUUUCUGUAACAAAGCGUCAUCGCCGAGCAUUGGAGGCCACGUCUGAUGCAAAUAUUUCAUCUGAAGAUAAAAGAAGUCUUGGUCUUAGAACUGGGAAAAGUGAUGUUCCUAAGAAAAGAAGAGCUGUUUGUUUGGUCAAUGAUGACGAUGAUGAUGAUGAGCCUAAAACUCCAGUUCAUGGAAGGACUUUGUCUGCCUCCAAAGUUGUUUCAUCUGCAGUAAUUCCAGAUUCUACAAAGAAGACUGAUGAAAAUCAUGCAUCUCUUAGUAGUGGUGGAGAAACUCUGAAAGUUUCAAUUAGAGAUGGAGGUGGCUCUCAGAAGGAUUGCCUUUCAUCUGGUAAGUUGGUUGGCCAGUCUUCUAUAUCUGCCACUAUGCAGCUUAAGGUAGACAAUACCAAAGCACACGUGUCUCACAGCCCUGGAAAGGAAGAAUUGGACAAGCGGCUGGUAAAGGAGGGUAAGAUGGAUUUGCUAUCCCCGGCAAAAUCUCCUUUGGUAGCUGCUGUUGUCAAGAGGAUGGGUGACCAACAAAAAUCUAAUAGAAUGACCAUCAAAGGGAGCAGCAGUUUGAAUUCUAAUAGUAAGGCUCAAAAUGUGCCUGGUAAAGAUUCGAGAGCUGUUUCCGGCGGGUCAAACUCUUCCCAGAGUCAGGUGUCUUCCCAGAAGAGUAGGCAGCCUUUGUCUGGGGAGAGGGCAAAAAGUUUUCCCAAAAUGUUGCCUGGGUUGAGUGAGCCAUAUUCUUCUGUUGAUAACCAGAAGGAUCAUGAUUCUGCAGUAGUUGAUGAAAGGUUGGAAGAUGCUAAGGACAGAUCUGGCUCUGUGGCGGAUUCAAAGGCCUUAGACUCUGCAAUGUCUAUAAGACAUUUAAUUGCUGCAGCUCAGGCUAAAAGGCGACAAGCUAAUAUACAAACUGUUCCUCAGGGUAAUGGAGAUUCUGUGCUUGUGUCGACUACCAAUCUUCACGGAAAUAGUCCAAGUCCAUUGUCUCGAGGCCCUGAUAUUCCAUCUGCUAUGGACGAGGUUGAUGCUCAGGGAGCUCAUCUCCGUGGAUCGUGUGGCUCACCGCCUGCUCAUAUUGGUCAAUUGGCUUCUCAUGAUCAAUUAGACUCUGAAGAACCUGAAAUUAAGGGACCUGGCUCAGGACACCAGGCUGCUGGAAGUACUCUGAGUGGCGGCACAGAAGCAGCGGUUGCUCGUGAUGCUUUUGAAGGAAUGAUUGAGACAUUAUCAAGGACCAAGGAAAGUAUUGGACGUGCUACCCGUCUCGCAAUUGAUUGUGCCAAGUAUGGAAUUGCUAAUGAGGUUGUGGAACUGCUCAUCCAUAAGUUAGAAAACGAGCCUAACUUUCACAGGAGAGUGGAUCUCUUUUUCUUGGUGGACUCUAUCACCCAAUGUUCACAUAGUCAAAAAGGCAUUGCUGGUGCCUCAUAUAUUCCUAUCGUCCAGGCAGCGUUGCCUCGUCUUUUAGGUGCAGCUGCUCCAUUUGGAGCUAAUGCCCGGGAGAAUCGCCGACAGUGCCUGAAGGUCUUGCGGUUGUGGCUUGAGAGAAAAAUUCUGCCAGAGGCAGUUCUUCGUCGUUUCAUGGAUGAUAUUGGUAGUUCAAAUGAUGAAAUGAGUAGCGGGAUUUCCUUUAGACGUCCUUCAAGAGCUGAGCGAUCGGUGGACGACCCUAUUAGAGAAAUGGAGGGUAUGCUUGUUGAUGAAUAUGGGAGCAAUGCUACUUUCAAUUUGCCUGGAUUUUUAUCUGCUCAUGGAUUUGUUGAUGACGAUGAAGAUGAAGAUGAAGAAGAGAAUGGUGUUCCCAGUACUUCUCUCAAGCAAUCUGAUGCGUCUCCAAUGCAACCUUCCAAUAAUUCGGCAGGGCUUGACAUUAGCAAAGAUACUCCAAAUGAUAGGCGUCACCACAUCUUGGAGGAGGUGGAUGGUGAGCUUGAGAUGGAAGAUGUUUGUCUUAAGGAUGGAGCAACCUCACCAAGUGGUUCAUCAAAGAAAGAUAAACAAGAGAUGAAGUUGGAUACUCAGUUGGAGUAUUCCACUAAUGAUUUUGUUGGGUCCCCAUCAUUGGAUGGUUCUCCACCAUUGCCUUUUGAAUCUCCUCCCCCUCUUCCCCCUUUACCUACUUCACCACCUCCUCCUCCACCGCCACCUUUAUCUCCUUCCCCUCCACCACCCCCACCUCCACUGACGCUGCCCUCACAUAUUCCUCCGCCUUCUUUGGUGUCAUCAGGGCCUCUGCAGCCUAGUAUUCUUCAGCCUGUUCUUCACCCACAGGCUUCUAUGGCUCCUCGAGUGGUACUGUUGCCUCCCUCUGUAGUUCCUCCUAUGCAGGCUCCUUUACCUCCCGAUUACAGCAUACCAACUGGUAGCCACCCUGUCCAGAUUGCUUGCAACACACCUCAGCAAGUGCCUUGUUUUCCUGCUGGAGCAUCUGGUUCACAUGACACACCUGGAUAUAGUUCUGUGUAUGCAGUACCACUGGCUGGUCCGUCCAACCAGCAGUUUCAGCAAAACCAACAAUUUCAGCCUAGUCAGGCAACAUUUGUACAAAGAGCUUUUCCACCUGUAACGAUGCCUCAACCCCCGGCAGGCCAUUUUGCUUACAAGCCCACACCUCAACAACAAAUGCCACAACCCCGGUCCCAUCCACCACCUCCUCCAGCCCCUUGCCAUCCAUACACAUCAGCUUCUCAUUCUGAAGGUUUGAGACGGUUUGGUGAUGAACAGUGGAUAUCUGCCUCUGCCGAGUAUAAAACAGAUAGUCAGCAUAAUUCAUGGAUGAAUGGAGGGAGAAUGCCAUCAUGUCCACCAACAAAUUUUAUGGGUGAAGCAUAUUUUCGACCGCCGGAGAGGGCACUGGCGGAUAGCAUGGGAUACCAAGUCUCAGCUCCUGUAAUGACAGGUCCAACAACAUCAGGACAUGGUAUCAAUCAGAUGUUGCCUUCGCGACCAGAUAUGUCGUCUCUUAAUUGGAGGCCAGCGUAGGAGUGAGAUUGUAGUCGAGCUGUUCAAUUCAAUGUCUUGGGGCUGCAAGGACUGGGCAUAAAUUUUUUUCUUGUAUGAAUCUUCCCAUGACUUGGCAUACAGGGAGAUGCAAGUAUCCGAAAGAAAAUGUGGAUAUCCUGAUGGACAUUUUAGAGUAUUUUUUAUCUGAGAAAUCAACUCCUGCUGAUAUUUGCCUCCCAAUGUUUUGCUGAUAUUGUAUUUUGUUUAAAUAUGACCCGUCACUAUGUGGAGCAUGAUCUGAACAUUCUGGCAGAUAAAUGGUGGCUAUCUUGGAGGUAAAACUCUUAAUUUGAAGCUUGACAGAUAAUUUAUUUUGACAUGAGCGAUUAUGCAAGAUUUCUACAUAGUGUAGUUUUGAAGGUAGUAUUCAUACGUUAACAUCAAGUUUCUGCUGUAUAUACUGUGACUAACAACACUGCACAGAUUCCUUGGUUCAUUUUGUAAAUACUUUCAUUUGACCACCCAUUGUUUGGUAUUUAAGAAUAAUUUGGUUGA